CCUUGCAGCUUUGCCACCCUCAACACGCUUUAAUCUCAUCUGCUUAACAGGGUUGGGCCAGGUUAGUUUGUGGAUGGGAGAUCAUUUGGGACUUCCAGGUGUUUUAACGA
RNAcentral lists this ribosomal RNA (110 nucleotides) under Oryzias melastigma (Indian medaka). Lineage: Eukaryota; Metazoa; Chordata; Actinopteri; Beloniformes; Adrianichthyidae. The record is from RNAcentral.